GCCAAGUGUUUACCAGACCCUUCCAACUUGGUCAGAUGCAAUCUCCAAAUUUUGUCUUCCGUGCAGUGGACGGCAGAGAAUUUACUGCUCAGCCUUUACAAGUUUCCAGCUACCACUUUUUGUGGGUCCGCUUGCUGUCUUGUCUAGGCAAGCACAGUUCAGGGUUCAGUCCGCAGCACAUGAUCGAUCACUCAGUCACAUUCUCUUCCGUCUUGUUCAUUAUCAUUUCAUCACUGGCUAAGCUGGGGCCCCACUGCAUUUUCCAUCAACAGAGAGGAUGAGACUGGAUGUCCUUGAAACUUUCCUCCAGCCUGGAAAAUUCUGAUUAUGUGUCACAGUUCUUUUCUUCUUGGAUUCUCAACUUCUUGAGACAGGACUGUUGUGGACAAGAGCAAAUGACAAACGAGAUAGUCAUGGACCUGCUGUGAUAAACCAUACAUUCUGGUGGGACAGAGAAACAGUAAGAAAAAAAAAAAAACUCCACUAAGAAAAUAAAAUGUCCAUGAAGAAAAUGAAAUGGUGCGUGGGGAUAGAAAGAAGAGAGGUGGAAACGGAACUGGAUAAGAACAGAUGGUCACGGCAGCCCCUGUGAAGACAACAUUUGAACUGAGACCGAAAUGGCCAGAAGAACCAGCCAUCUGCUACUAUUUGGAGAACAGCACCAGCCAUUC
This is a long non-coding RNA of Mustela erminea (ermine), 671 nucleotides long. RefSeq lists it as uncharacterized. The transcript has 4 exons. The record is from RefSeq and is a predicted model, not a curated record. NCBI's taxonomy places the organism in Eukaryota, Metazoa, Chordata, Mammalia, Carnivora, Mustelidae.